This 1481-nucleotide long non-coding RNA is filed under the name Mus spicilegus (steppe mouse). RNAcentral's name for it is "lncRNA (ENSMSIG00000003565.1)". Lineage: Eukaryota; Metazoa; Chordata; Mammalia; Rodentia; Muridae. The record is from RNAcentral.
CUCAGAGAUGCCUGGCUGUGGAAGCAGUGCCUACUUUGCCUUUCACAGCAUUUUAAAUAGAAUAGAAUAGGUAAAUUUAGGUACAAAAAUAUAUUAUUUUCCCCAUAGGACUUAACAUAAUUAGUUCAUUUUGAUGGAGGGGGAGGAAAUGCAGCCCAGGACUAUCUGUUUUCUCUAGAACUGUGCCAUACAAAAAAGAAAAGAGAGGGGGAAAAAAAACUCCCCACCAGCGCAGCAUAGAAAAACGUCUUGGCCCCUCAUUUGUGAAACAGUCGCCAUGGGAGCAAAGAACUUUCUCUUGUGACUCCUUUAGAAUGCAGGCUGCAUGCAGCCAGUGAACCCUUAUUCAUUUUAGGCAACAAAUCUUGGGUCCCUGCUAGGCAGAGGGCCAUGUGGCCCACAUAGAAGAAGAAACACCGAGUCCUCGGCCUCCUGAAGCUGCUGCGCUGUGGUGCUGUGAUGCACACGGGCAGCAAAGACCCAGAGGUGGAAGACUGAGUGCCUGCUACCAGCUGAGUCCUAAGAUGUGACUCAACUAUACUCUGCUGCAUCUACCUCUCCAUGGCAAAGCCAGAAUGAAACCGGGGACCUAGACACAGACUCCCAAAGGAGCCAGGAGUGAGAGCAGGUGAGCGAGGGCCAGCCCACCCAAGAAUGGUGUUGGAGCAGCUGGGCCACCAACGGCAGCCACAACAGGAAUAGUUCACCUACCCCAAACCUCACACCUGAUGCAGGUCGAUCAUUAACUCAAGAACAGGAAACUCUCGACAUACUUAGAGAAAGCAGGGAAGAAAAUAUCUGUGAGCAUGGCUCAGGUAAAGAGUUCUUAGGCAAAACACCAAAGAGUAAACCAGACAGUUGGUUUGGACCUCACCGACAUCAACAGUCUCCACUCUGUGAAAAGCUGAAGGGAUGACGGGUAAGCUGGAAAGGAAGAGAAAAGCUGACUGGAUUUUUCAGUUUCCUUAUUGCUGUGACCAACAAAGGACAACUCAGGGAGCUGGAGAGAUGAGCGCAGAGGUGAGGAGCACCGGAUGCUCUUCUGGAGGACCCAGGAUCAAUUCUCAGCACCUAAAGAAGUCUGUGCUGGAGAAGUUUCUAUCACGGUGGACAAAGACUGGAAAUGACUCAACUCCCAUGAUCAGGUGAAUGGCCAGCAGACUGUGUGUACCCGCGCCAGCGUGAGUGGCCGGCCACCAGCAGUAAAAGGGAGAAAAUGAGUGAUUCCUACAGUUUCAAAAAGCAUCAUGCUGCCGAAAAAAGCCAGGCACAAAAGACGGACGACGUGCUGUACGAUUUCUUUCAUAGAAUAGGAGCCGGAAAAAGAACAAGGACUGCCUGGAGCCAGGGUUGUGGAGAGGCUGACGGCAAAAGAGCAUGAAGGAAUUUUUUUUUUUUGUUAAUGAUGGAAAUGUGAUAUGCUAUACUGGAAGGGUAGUCACAUGAUAUCCAUGAGUCAAAAAUAAAAAAUGUUCACUAGG